This 110-nucleotide small nuclear RNA is filed under the name Pseudogymnoascus sp. VKM F-3775. Lineage: Eukaryota; Fungi; Ascomycota; Leotiomycetes; Thelebolales; Thelebolaceae. The record is from RNAcentral.
GCUCUUUUCGCCUGCGGGCAUAUUCGUCAACUUGUAAAGAUACAGAGAAGAUUAGCAUGGCCCCUGCACUAAGGAUGACACGCUCAAUCAAAGAGAAGCUACCAAUUUUU